UAUUGAAUUAGUGGAACGCUCUGGGAAGUGCGGCCAUAGUGGGUGAUAGCCCCGUACACGAAGAUUCAAUAGUCACAUAUUAAGUAGGACGGGACACGUGUUAUCUUGUCUGAAGAUGGGGGGACCAUCCUCCAAGGCUAAAUACUCCUGACUGACCGAUAGUGAACCAGUACCGUGAGGGAAAGGCGAAAAGAACCCCUGUGAGGGGAGUGAAAUAGAUCCUGAAACCGUAUGCGUACAAGCAGUGGGAGCAGACUUGUUCUGUGACUGCGUACCUUUUGUAUAAUGGGUCAGCGACUUAAUUUUAGUAGCAAGGUUAACCGUAUAGGGGAGCCGUAGGGAAACCGAGUCUUAAUAGGGCGUUUAGUUGCUGGGAUUAGACCCGAAACCGAGUGAUCUAGCCAUGAGCAGGUUGAAGAUCAGGUAACACUGAUUGGAGGACCGAACCCACUUAUGUUGAAAAAUGAGGGGAUGACUUGUGGCUAGGAGUGAAAGGCUAAUCAAACUCGGAGAUAGCUGGUUCUCCUCGAAAGCUAUUUAGGUAGCGCCUCGUGUAUCACCCUGGGGGGUAGAGCACUGUUUGGGCUAGGGGGUCAUCCCGACUUACCAACCCCAUGCAAACUCCGAAUACCCAGGAGUGCGAUCACGGGAGACACACGGCGGGUGCUAACGUCCGUCGUGGAGAGGGCAACAACCCAGACCGCCAGCUAAGGUCCCAAAGUUACAGUUAAGUGGGAAACGAUGUGGGAAGGCUUAGACAGCUAGGAGGUUGGCUUAGAAGCAGCCAUCCUUUAAAGAAAGCGUAAUAGCUCACUAGUCGAGUCGGCCUGCGCGGAAGAUUUAACGGGGCUCAAACUGUACACCGAAGCUGCGGAUAUCUUUUAGAUAUGGUAGAGGAGCGUUCUGUAAGCUGAUGAAGCUCAAUUGAGAAGUUGGGUGGAGGUAUCAGAAGUGCGAAUGC
This 961-nucleotide ribosomal RNA is filed under the name Oleiphilus sp. HI0128. Its description in RNAcentral is "bacterial LSU rRNA". It matches the Rfam family "Bacterial large subunit ribosomal RNA", at positions 322 to 1297 of the family's 2925-position model. The record is from RNAcentral. Lineage: Bacteria; Pseudomonadati; Pseudomonadota; Gammaproteobacteria; Oceanospirillales; Oleiphilaceae.